CGGACGGGUGAGUAAUGUCUGGGAAACUGCCCGAUGGAGGGGGAUAACUACUGGAAACGGUAGCUAAUACCGCAUAACGUCGCAAGACCAAAGAGGGGACCUUAGGGCCUCUUGCCAUCGGAUGUGCCCAGAUGGGAUUAGCUAGUAGGUGGGGUAACGGCUCACCUAGGCGACGAUCCCUAGCUGGUCUGAGAGGAUGACCAGCCACACUGGAACUGAGACACGGUCCAG
Molecule: ribosomal RNA, 231 nt
Filed under: uncultured bacterium
Lineage: Bacteria
Description: partial 16S ribosomal RNA
Rfam family: Bacterial small subunit ribosomal RNA
Source: RNAcentral